AUGUAGCUUACUUUAUUCCUUAGGAAGAUUUAGGUGUGCUUUAGUGUGCACGCUGGACUGAGUUAAUUAUCACUAAGAAUGUUUCCACCAAAUUAUACUGUGCUUAAAUAUGCUUAAAAUAAAUCACUUGGGGUCAGACUCCCAAAGUUUGAACCAACACCGGCUACUUAGUCGUGUUGAAUAAAACGGCCUUUUUUCCUCCCACGGAUCAUCGCUCUGCUGGAUGUGGAGGCUGCAAAGACCCCACAGCUUGGAGAAGGUAAGAAAGCAGUGCAACAGAAGAUUACUUCUGAGGAGGCUGUAGAUACCCUGAUCAAGCAGCUUGGGUUGGUGCAGCCAUCAAACAGUGUGGAGCUACCGAAGCACCAGCAAAACACGAAAAUGGAGUCCCAGAUGGCUCCUGCUCCCGAGCAUCUGACCAAGCCAACGCUUGGAGACAGGAAGACUUUAGCUCAUCAAGUCAAGACCUUAAGAAGAAAACAAGGACACAAUACUACUGACCCCCAAAAUGUUGCUGUUAUGUUUACUGACUGUAUUACAUGUUAAUUUUCAGUUUGCCAAUAUAGAAUCCAAAUGCCUUCUGUCAGGGAGAGAAAAUUCACGCCCCUAAUAGAAGACAGUAUGAUAUUGCUUUGCCAUGCGAAAGGUUGUUUUUAUACACUUUAAAAAAGUACCAGUACCAGGAGUCAUUGCUACACGCAAAGAGACAUUUCAAAAAUGGCCUGUACGAUUAGUAAAACUACUAACAUUGCAGCAAGCAUAUUGGUAGAAAUUAACCAAGAAAUGGGUGAAUUGAGAGCCACAGUCCUACAGAAUGGCACUACUCUAUAUAUUAUUCGUUGCUCAAUCAUAAUCUUGAUGGUCAGCAAUUUCCUUUUAAAGUAUGUGUUGCUUUAAUAUGACAGAUGUCUCUCAUACUAUCGAUGGUCAAAUUAAUGAUCCGCCCUAAAAAGACAGACAAAAUCUCUCAAGCAACCUUUGAAGGCCACCCUGACUAAGAUGGCUUUCCCCUUUCCUUGGUCCCCCGAUAACGAUUCUUGUAAUCCCGUUCUGCUUGUUUGUAAUAGUUAGACUAGCCAUGCAGGCAAUGUAUACAACCUCAGCCUCUACUACAGCCCCCACUUUCUCUUUAAAAAUUAAAAAAAGUGGGGGAGAUGUUGGAGUUGUGGAGGGCCUUAUGCUCACAGAUAAGCACUAGGAGAAUCUGGAAUGUUGGCACACAGGGUUCUUGCUGCUCUAUCUGUUACCUUCCCAGAAGCCUGGGAGGGACAUGUCUGACCUUAGUGCUGUCUGUGUGGCCAGAGACCACGCCAGACCCUUUUCAUAGACUUCUUCAUCCCAGUCAACCCUCAGACAUGUUUAAGGAAGGUGUCACCUGUAGUCAACCUGUAGGACCUACCUCCGUGGAAGAUGUCACGUAUACUUUACAAAAGAGUUUCAAUGUAGCCACACCCGCUCUUUAUUUAGCUUAUUUUAUUCCCGAAAGAGACUGAUGCAUGCUUUAUUGUGCGCCUAGGGCUGAGUUAAUUAUCAGGAGGAAAGUUUUCACUAAAUUGGGCCGAGCUUAAAUAUGCCCUGCAACAAACCACUCGGGGCCGGACUCCUGAAGGUGUGUUGAAUCGAACCGCCUUCUUGCCUCCCACAGAGCGUGACUCUUCUGGUUGUGGAGAAACCUCAGAAACCUCCCGCAGUAAACAAAUGGGCUGACGUUGCUCUGAAAGUUUGGUUGCAGCAGUUUCAUACAUGAACUACCUGCAGAUCACAGAGAGGAGUGGGAUCCGGUGCAGGUGCUCUACCUGGCUCUGGCCCCUGAGGCUGAUAUUUCCAGGGGCGGCCUAAGUCUCAUCAGUCAAAAACCCAGUAAGCUGACCAAAGCCUUAGACAAGAAUUGUGAUGGCAUGCAUGUGACCUCUAGAAGCUCAAGCAAGACUGUAUUUCAGCAUGGGGCAGGGCAGGUGGCCAGCCCAAGCUGAGGGGCUACAUGCAUUGGAGUGCUUCUGGGAGAGGGAAGGUCAGUUUUCUUUAACUAUGUAUGACCCCUGAUGUGUUGACCACACUGUGGAACAAACCCUGUGCCCAGGAGUAGGCGACCAACACAAACUGGACUUGAUGGGGGUUGAACAUAAAGUUGAGUGGGUAGGGAGGUUGGGAAGGAUCUGGGAGAAGUUGGGAGAGAGGGAUGAAUAUGGUCAGAAUGCAUUGUAUCAGAUUCUUAAAGAAUUAAUAAGAAACAUUAUUUUUUAAAGGAAUAAAUAACAAUGGUCUCCAGUUACAAGGAUCUCAUGAAAUGGCAGGCUUCACAAAACUGAAAUGGAAUGGUACGGAUGCUCCAGUCAAAUAAUGUGUAAAGUUCUGCAAGAUCUCACGGGAGCCCUGGACUGAAGCAAGGCUGCCCACUGGGUGCUGCAGCAUAUCUUCCAAAAAGCAGCCAUGAAUCUGUGCUCCAUAAGGCCGUGGUAAAGUGUCACCCAUGAGGAAUCUCCACAGUGACCAAACCUUGUUGGAAUCUGGAAGACGGACCUCUCUCCAUCAUUAAGACUGAUUUGUGGCAGGGCCCGGAAAGCAGUGCUCAGCUGACAAAAGAUGACCUCCUAUGGAAGUUAAACCCUGUUCACAGGAGGACCCUGGGUGAGGCCAAGAAUUAGGGGUACACCUGCAGGGACAAAGUAGUAAGCGCCAAGAGUAGUUAAGGGAACAUGGUAACCCUAAUGCCCAGGACUCUUAGACUAUUGAAUCCAAUUCUUAGUGAUGAGUGGAAGAGAUCAUUUGCUAUGAAAAGUUUUCAGUGUCCCGGGAGACCUUCUAUGCACACAGAAACAUGCCCCCAAGCAUCAAGGUUCCAAAACAGGAGGUACCAUUGGGUCAUCCCAGCUGACAUCUUGGCAGCUCAGAACAUGGUAAGAAGUAGCUAGGCUUUCCAUUGGGAAUGUAGAGCCAAUAGAUCCCAAUGGCCAAGGGAACACUGGAGAAGAAAGAUUGGAGUGGGAGACAAGGAGGACAGAUGGGGAAAGGAGACAGCUUCUAGGUACUGAUCUCUAACACAACCACAGAAUUAUUGGUUUCCUGCAGAGAGCAUCAUGCUUGAGGCCUUAGCAGGAGUCAGUUUUGGACGGGUAAGAUGUGACAUGGAUAUGACACACAAGUGAAGUUGUUAAGUGGGCAGCUGGGCGUGUGUCUGUGACUUACCCCAAUGGUGUGGGAAGACCAUGAAGGGUACCAGCUGGAGGUAAGCAUUCCAGGGACUGAGCCAGGAUUCUGGUGACACAAAACUAGGCCAGGCUCUGUCUUCUGGUCCUCCUUGCUCACAGGCAAUGACCUACUACUGUUGAUGCUGCUUCCCAGUUCUAGUUACGCUACAGUCAAAGGAGGGGGCUGACUCAACCCCACUCACGAAUAAAGGCUAGGCAACCUCUCAGCUGGUCCUGGUCACACAGGUUAGUGUAAAGCUGCAGAGAUUCAUGGGUGGGGAUUCUGAGCAAGCGUCUCAGAACAUAGUUGAGUCCUUGGGAAAUUACGAAGGAUCUCUUGCUCAGCUACAUUGAUGGCCCUCACUGGAUUAGGACUGGUUUUCACCUCCUCCUUUUCCUUGUGCUCCCCUGAGCUUUUUGGCUAACUCUUUCCCCAGGCCUCCAUUCCGCUUUAAAUGAUGUGAUCUGCAGGGUCGUCCAGCUUUCAUGAUGUGAUCUGCAAGGUUGUCCAGCUUUCAUGGUCUGGUGUGACUUUUCCUGGAACAACGGUGCACUGGGAAUGACCAAGGGGAUUCCAGACGCAAGGCUGGAAUUGGGGAAGCGGCUUUAGUUCAUAAAUGCAGCAGGCCUAGGCAACAUCAAUCCAAAAAAUGAGCUUCAGUUGAGUUAAGCACCGCAUUUUACACCACUUCUGUCCCCUUGCCUGCUUCCUCGCCCCCACAUAGCAACCCGGAGUGACAUAUUUUGAUUGGCUAUAAUAAGCUUGUUUAGUAGAGUUUGCUAAAUUCCUCCAUAUGCAGAAGGUUUUCCUCAAGCAGAACAAUUAGCUACAGACCAUUUAUAGCGUAGAGGGGAGAAGUGAGGACCGAGGCUGCAGAUCAAACAUGGUGCUACACCCCAGGGUGUGGCCCAGCCGGUUGCAGGUGUUUCCCGUCAGCUUCUUAGACCCUUCUACUAUUUUAAUCUCAAAUCCCUUCUAGGGUCUAUCUUACCCAGAUUUUCUAUUACUGUGAGUAAACACCAUGACCAGGAGGGUUUACUUCACCUUACAGCUCUUGGGAAGUCAGGGCAGAAACCCGGAGGCAGAGACCAUGGAACAGUGCUGCUUAGCAGCUUGCUUCCAGUGGUUCAGUCAGCCUGGUUUCCUAUAGAUGCCGGGACCACCAGCCCAGGGUGGCCCCACCCACAAUGGGCCAGGCUCUCCUACCUCAAUCACUAAUUAUGAAAAUGUCCUUCAGGCUUUCCUACAACCCUAACUCACGGAGACAUUUUCUCAAUUGAUUUCCUCCUUUCAGGUGACUUCAGAUUGUCAAGCCGACAUGGGACUACCCAGCACAAGGUCAAAGAGCAUCAUCUGUCAUCCCAGGUGGUACCCAGAUACUCUGAGAAUAUAAUGGUUCCAACAUGCCUGGACAGGGCUUCUAACACAAGGGGCUGUCACUUACUCAGCAUGAGUCUCCAAAUGUUGGAGGGCAGAAUUCCUUGGUGUGUAUGUCUCAGUGUGUGUGUGUAUUUGGAUACAUCCGUGUUCUAAGGGAACGUUAGCACAUUUUUUGUCAGAUUCUGUUUUUAAGAACCUUAUAGUUUUUACAUACAUCGAAAGAUAAGUCUGGCUUAGGGAGCUCAGUCAUUACCAAUGAAAAAAAGAUAAAAGAAUGUUAACAGAAUGUUAAAAAUUAUAUGUAUGUAUAUAUGUACGUAUAUUUAUAUCUCUUUUUAAAAGUCUUCUAAAGAGAGCAAUAAAAACUAUUAGGAGAAGGAAAACAAAAACCAACAUAACAUUUUCCUAACUAUCACUCAUUUAAGACCCAACAGAAGGUUUUUGCCAUGUUUCCAGUUGGGGCUGUGGCAGUGAGGCCACAAUAAAGAUUGGGACAAGUGUGGAUAAUGUCGAAGUGUGUGUAAUGCAUAAGGAAAUGAAAAAAAGCCUACUUGUUCCUGUAGGUCGUCAAAUCCCCGAGUUUCUGCUACGCACAGUCUGCUUAGCUCCCAGAGCAGCUAGAGCAAUGACGCAGACAUCUUGCCGUCCUCCAGUUUCUAGGCUUCCUGGCGUCAAGCAAGCAUGUCCAACAGGGGUGCCCCUGGGGCUUUACACCCAGAACAAGGGAUUCAGGCCCUCAUCCUUACUAGUUAGGACUUGAAUUUAUGUUCUUACACAGUUGCCUUGGCUUUGUAACUGUCCUUCAGAAAAUGCGUUCAAAAUGCUAUAUAGCUAAAGAGCAUAAUGCAGCUCUGGAGAACAAUAUGCAAACUGAGCACAUAUUUUGAUUUUUCGGAAGUGUUGACCCUGGAGGAAUUUGACUUCUUGUUGAGUGGCUCUUAAAUACUUUUUUUUUUUUUUUUUACAGUAUAUUAAAUUUUUUUAACUAAUAUUUUCAGGGGUUUUUUUUGUUUGUUUGUUUUGUGAUAUUCAUCAGAAACAUAUUGUGAUAAGAUUGAUGAAUUUUGGCAGUUAUAGCUCUCGUAAGUAGUCAUUGGAUAAACCCUCAUAUGCAUGGAGCCAUAUAACAUCUAACUGUAUUCAUGACUCCUACGACCAUAGCAAGGGAAUCAUCUUCCUUUUUUUUAGUCUUAAGCUCAGGGGGUCCUGCAGAGACUGCUGCACCAACCCAGGACCAUGCAUGGAGAGGACCUACACCUCUUGCCCAGAUGCAGCUGAUAGGCAGCUCAGUCUCCAUGUGGGUUUCCAAGUAAGGGGAGCAGAGGCUGUCUCUGACAUGGACUCUGUCGCCUACUCUUUGAUCACUUGGCCCUGUUGAUGCAGCCUUGCCAGGCCACAGAGAAAGAGGAUCCAGGCAGUCCUGAUGAGGCUUGACAAGCUAUGCGCAGAUGGCAGAGGAGGAGACUGUCAGUGGACUAGGGGAAGGGGAUGACGGGAAGAGGCAGAGAGGGUAGGACUGGGAGGAGUUGAGGGAGGGGUCUUCAAUCAGGAUAUACAAUGAAUAAAUUGUAAAAACAUUUUUAAAAAAUCCUUCACAGGUGUCCCCAGCUGCUUAGGUUUUGGUUGAUUCCAGAUGUUGUCAACUUGAAAACCAAGAUGAUCCAUGACACCAAGUAUAAUACAAAUCUUUUUUCUUAGCAUCAUAAUCAGGGUAACAUCCCCCAAACCAUUUGGCUUGUGGCAUCCAGCUGACUAGACACUCCCAAAAGGUCAUCCUGAUAUAAUUGAUAGACUUUUGUUGAUUAUUUUAUAUUUUUAUUUAUUGUUGAUGGCAAAAAUAUAGUCUACUUGAAUUUUGUAACUAUUUGUUUAUAGUCUUAAACACAUUUGGAAUUCCUCUGGGGACCCCUUUAGAGUCACUUAGAUAUCAAAGGACUCAGAUAUUGUCCUCCUACCCCUGGAAUUAGCUUUGCUAAGAGGAGGAGAAUAGAGGGCCAGGGUAAAGGGUACGGCCAGUGUGCAGGCCCCACCAACCUAGUGGUAGGCGUGGGUAAAAAAGUUCCCUUGUCCAUAGCACCAUCAUAUUUCAGCUUGUGAGAUGAGUACCAAGCACUUCUCGUUGCUCCUUGUUUGUCUGAGAUGUUCACAGUGUGGGUACAGGCUCCAAGAUGCCACAUUAGACAAGAGAACUUAUCCCCCUGUUGUGUGAGACUUGGGAAGUAGCUCUCCUUCCCUGUGGUGAAGGAGGCAUUUGGUGGCUUUGCCGGUGUAGUCCGGAGCAGGAGCAAUAGAUUCCCGCAAGCCUUGUUUCCCCACGUGUUCCUACUCUGCAGCAUUCAUCACCUGGCAUGCAGCUACCCACAUGGGAUCUGUGUCCUGUCCAAGGGAAGGAGCACUAUUUUAGCCUGAGGAUGUCCUGAUAUGCAAGCAUCAUGUAUUUUAAAUUUAGUCCAUUUGAUCAAAGUAUUUCAGUCUCUAUCUCUAAUUCUUAGAGACUUACUUAGAAAAAGGAAAACCAAAAUGAA
Molecule: long non-coding RNA, 7094 nt
Organism: Psammomys obesus (fat sand rat)
Lineage: Eukaryota; Metazoa; Chordata; Mammalia; Rodentia; Muridae
Exons: 4
Source: RefSeq, a predicted model, not a curated record